GAAUUCAGUGAAUCAUCGAAUCUUUGAACGCAUCUUGCGCUCCUUGGUAUUCCGAGGAGCAUGCCUGUUUGAGUGUCAUUA
This 81-nucleotide ribosomal RNA is filed under the name Inosperma proximum. Its description in RNAcentral is "partial 5.8S ribosomal RNA". It matches the Rfam family "5.8S ribosomal RNA", at positions 77 to 154 of the family's 154-position model. Rfam says of the family: 5.8S ribosomal RNA (5.8S rRNA) is a component of the large subunit of the eukaryotic ribosome. It is transcribed by RNA polymerase I as part of the 45S precursor that also contains 18S and 28S rRNA. Functionally, it is thought that 5.8S rRNA may be involved in ribosome translocation. The record is from RNAcentral. Lineage: Eukaryota; Fungi; Basidiomycota; Agaricomycetes; Agaricales; Inocybaceae.